Molecule: long non-coding RNA, 1158 nt
Organism: Gallus gallus (chicken)
Lineage: Eukaryota; Metazoa; Chordata; Aves; Galliformes; Phasianidae
Source: Ensembl
UUCCAUGUCAUAUGCCAAUUUGUCAGACUGCCCCUCUGCUGCCAUCUGUCACAUGGCAAUAACAUGUAAUGGAAUAUUGGUGGGAAGGUUCAGCCUCUACUGCCACACCACCAACAUCCAUCUCUGACAUCAUGGGCUGACAUAAUAAAAUAGGAGGCACUACUUUUGCAGCAGCCCUAGUAGUAGAGCCCUAGUGAGUAGAGCCUAUUUCUGAUACUAUUCAUUUACAUUAGUACUAUGAAAACAUUUACACAAAGAAUCCCAGGUAAUACAAGUAACUAAUGACUACAAGAAGCAGGAGUUAAAUAAUAUGGUCUUACUACUUCUGCUGACAAAUUAAACUGCAAAUACAAUACACAAGCAUUAGAGCUCAUUGAACAAAAGAGAUUACUUACAGACAGCCAGAAGAGAAAGCAACAUCUGUUAUGAGGGUUUGUACAAGGAAAAUAUUAGCAUUUAACUACAAUCAAAACCAUUCCACAGCUCUUAAAAUCCACGGGUCAUUUUAAAUGUAUACUAUUUUAUUUGAAAUCUGAUCUUUUGCAAGAUUUUCUUUAUCGCUUAAAAAAGCUAUUCUCCAAAAUAUUUCACAAUAAAUCUUGAAAUUCUUUUCAACAGGUCUUACUCUACACAGAGCAAUACUGCUCACAAAUGCCUUUUAGUUAUAUUGUAGUAUCUCUUUCAAUCGUGAUUCAGUGUUUACAUAAAUCUAUCUCUGAGAGUCUUCAGAGUCAUAGCCUUCAGAUCACAACUCUCAGGCUCCACAAUGUACCUGUAAAUUAAACUAGCACAAUAAUUGAAACCUUCAAAGUAAUCUUUAGGUUCUGGGAAGUAUGAUUGUGCAUUGAUUGUGUAUUAAAGGAAUGGUUGAGUAUUUCCUAAUUUGAUCCUGCUCUGCUGCGGGUAGUACCUCUCUCCCACCUCUGUCUGCUAGCAAUAACAGAAACCUGUAGAAGAUUCUGCAGCAAAGAUUGAAACAAAGCAAACAUUCCUUCCUGUAUUCAAGCUCAGUCACACAGCUCCUGCUUGACUGCACUGGUUUUCUGCUGUGCCUGCUGUACGGUUUUCACACUGGGGUAAUCUCAGUGACGAACAAGUGUCAGACACAAACAGCUUGAAUCUACUUGAAAAAAGAAGGGCAACAUUUUUUAUUUUUCC